CCCGCUUCUCGCGGCGGGCGGGGCGGGGCCACGGGGGGAACGCAAAGAACCUUACCUGGCCUUGACAUGGUAAGAACUUUCCAGAGAUGGAUUGGUGCCUUCGGGAACUUACAUACAGGUGCUGCAUGGCUGUCGUCAGCUCGUGUCGUGAGAUGUUGGGUUAAGUCCCGCAACGAGCGCAACCCUUUUCCUUAUUUGCCAGCGAGUAAUGUCGGGAACUUUAAGGAUACUGCCAGUGACAAACUGGAGGAAGGCGGGGACGACGUCAAGUCAUCAUGGCCCUUACGGCCAGGGCUACACACGUGCUACAAUGGUCGGUACAAAGGGUUGCUACACAGCGAUGUGAUGCUAAUCUCAAAAAGCCGAUCGUAGUCCGGAUUGGAGUCUGCAACUCGACUCCCUGAAGUCGGAAUCGCUAGUAAUCGCGGAUCAGAAUGCCUCGGUGAAUACCUUCCCGGGCCUUGUACACACCGCCCGUAAAAGAAGGGGGA
This 491-nucleotide ribosomal RNA is filed under the name Acinetobacter bouvetii. Its description in RNAcentral is "bacterial SSU rRNA". It matches the Rfam family "Bacterial small subunit ribosomal RNA", at positions 920 to 1410 of the family's 1533-position model. Lineage: Bacteria; Pseudomonadati; Pseudomonadota; Gammaproteobacteria; Moraxellales; Moraxellaceae. The record is from RNAcentral.